RNAcentral lists this ribosomal RNA (80 nucleotides) under Dehalococcoidales bacterium. The record is from RNAcentral. Lineage: Bacteria; Bacillati; Chloroflexota; Dehalococcoidia; Dehalococcoidales.
UCUGGUGGUUAGAGCGGAGUGGACCCACCCGUUCCCAUCCCGAACACGGAAGUGAAACGCUCCAGCGCAGACGAUACUGA